ACUACCUCUGCAGCAUAAAAUCUGCAAUGAUCCAACAUUUAUGUCAGGGAUGUAGGAAGGUCAUGACAUAUGAGUCGAAGGACUAACUAGAUCCCUCAUACAGAGACCAAAAAUAUUUUUGAAAAUAAUUUGUCCUUUAACAGGAUCAGAAUCACAUUUUGUAGGACCAAAUCCAAAGAAUGGUGGAUAUCAGAAAAACUUGAAUUAAAGAACAACUUGAAAAAAGAAUUAAAACGAAAACCUUAUUGUAACUAUUAAUAUUCUUUUUAUUUUUUCACUCUUCAUAGUGAACCUUUUAACAUUUUGUUAUUA
Molecule: unclassified non-coding RNA, 312 nt
Filed under: Hevea brasiliensis (rubber tree)
Lineage: Eukaryota; Viridiplantae; Streptophyta; Magnoliopsida; Malpighiales; Euphorbiaceae
Source: RNAcentral